AGGGAUUCCAGGGCCGCCACUGUCUUGCUGAGGCUUUCUCCUAUCAUCUGUUGGAUGUGUCCACUCCUCCUUUCCUGCUGCCCAGAGUGGCAGCUGUCUUCCACUGGGACCACUGCACCGGCCUCUUCGCUGGCCUCCUUGUGUCUGUGUUGGUCUCUACUGACUCACCCUGUUUUCCUCUGCUUUGCAGCAAGGAUGAUUUUUCUAACUCGCUCCCCAGGGGAUGCCAGCGCUGCUGGUCUGGGCAGGGCAUUUUGAGGAGCAAGGAACUGGAGGACCCCUGCUGAUGUCCCUAGCCUCGUCUUCUGCUCCCCCCCCAACCCUGCUCCAGCCACGCUGAACUUGUGCUAGCUUCCAGAAUACGUCACAUGCUCGCUCACCACUGGGCCUUUGCACAUGCUCUGUCUCCCUAGAGCACGCUUCCCCUGGCCUAGCUGGCUCCUGCUCCUAUUCCAGCUGAGCAGUGAAGGAUCCCUGAGGUAAGGACUCCAGUUGCCCUGAACUCUGUGAACAAGGUCAGCUCCACAACUGUGUGUCCUCAGGCCACCCAAAAGUCGUGUCAGAGAGCAAGGACAUUAAAAGGAUGAGAACUGUU
Long non-coding RNA from Neofelis nebulosa (Clouded leopard), 595 nucleotides. RefSeq lists it as uncharacterized. The record is from RefSeq and is a predicted model, not a curated record. NCBI's taxonomy places the organism in Eukaryota, Metazoa, Chordata, Mammalia, Carnivora, Felidae. The transcript is spliced from 3 exons.